CUUCCGUAGGUGAACCUGCGGAAGGAUCAUUACAAGUGAGGCUACCGAACGUUGGAAACAGCGGUUAGGAGCUUACACCCACCCGUGUUUACAUACUAUUGUUGCUUUGGCGGGCCGUGGCCUCCACUGCGGGCUCUGCUCGUGUGUGCCCGCCAGAGGACCAAACUCUGAAUGUUAGUGAUGUCUGAGUACUAUCUAAUAGUUAAAACUUUCAACAACGGAUCUCUUGGUUCUGGCAUCGAUGAAGAACGCAGCGAAAUGCGAUAAGUAAUGUGAAUUGCAGAAUUCAGUGAAUCAUCGAAUCUUUGAACGCACAUUGCGCCCUGUGGUAUUCCGCAGGGCAUGCCUGUUCGAGCGUCAUUUAACCACUCACGCCUAGCGUGGUAUUGGGGCACGCGGUCUCGCGGCCCUCAAAAUUAGUGGCGGCGCCGGUGGGCUCUAAGCGUAGUACAUACUCCCGCUAUAGAGUUCCCCCGGUGGCUCGCCAGAACCCCCAAUUUUUUACAGGUUGACCUCGGAUCAGGUAGGGAUACCCGCUGAACUUAAGCAUAUCAAUAAGCGGAGGAAAAGAAACCAACAGGGAUUACCUCAGUAACGGCGAGUGAAGCGGUAACAGCUCAAAUUUGAAAGCUGCCAACAGGCCGCGUUGUAAUUUGUAGAAGCUGCUUUGGGUGUCGGC
RNAcentral lists this ribosomal RNA (679 nucleotides) under uncultured Phialocephala. RNAcentral's name for it is "eukaryotic LSU rRNA". The stretch from base 207 to 360 matches the Rfam family "5.8S ribosomal RNA". The record is from RNAcentral. Lineage: Eukaryota; Fungi; Ascomycota; Leotiomycetes; Helotiales.